GACGAACGCUGGCGGCGUGCUUAACACAUGCAAGUCGAGCGGUAAGGCCCUUUCGGGGUACGACGAGCGCGAACGGGUGAGUAACACGUGGGUGACCUGCCCUCAGCUCUGGGAUAAGCCUCGGGAAACCGGGGUCUAAUACCGGAUAUGACUCCAUGACGCAUGUUGUGGGGUGGAAAGCCUUGUGCGGCUGAGGAUGGGCCCGCGGCCUAUCAGCUUGUUGGUGGGGUGAUGGCCUACCAAGGCGACGACGGGUAGCCGGCCUGAGAGGGCGACCGGCCACACUGGGACUGAGACACGGCCCAGACUCCUACGGGAGGGCAGCAGUGGGGAAUCUUGCGCAAUGGGCGAAAGCCUGACGCAGCGACGCCGCGUGAGGGAUGACGGCCUCG
Molecule: ribosomal RNA, 392 nt
Filed under: uncultured bacterium
Lineage: Bacteria
Description: bacterial SSU rRNA
Rfam family: Bacterial small subunit ribosomal RNA
Source: RNAcentral